Long non-coding RNA from Ostrea edulis (European flat oyster), 1107 nucleotides. RefSeq lists it as uncharacterized. NCBI's taxonomy places the organism in Eukaryota, Metazoa, Mollusca, Bivalvia, Ostreida, Ostreidae. The transcript is spliced from 2 exons. The record is from RefSeq and is a predicted model, not a curated record.
CUGCAGAAAAUGUAAACAGUGAAUCCACUGACCUAACAUUAUCAUGUCCUUCGUUUACGACAGUUUUAAUGAGACUAAUUGGUCGCAAAAUUGUGGACUUCUAGGAAAUGUUAGCGGUAGAUGUGACACUUGCAAUGAUUGAUAUGUUAAAUUAUGACAAAUCUUACAACAAGGAUGGUUUUGUUUUAUGGUAGAACAAUAUUGACAGAGUAACGAAAAAACAACAACAAAAAACCCCAAACCUUCCAUACGAGAAGGAGCGUGGUUUUCAGGGAACCAUAUGUUGUAAGAACAGACAGUAAACUAAACAAGCUCCUUGGGGACUUCAUUUCAAGGGAGAUCAUUCAUGAGAAUUGGAAGUGCCAAUCAAACGAAUUUACACUUGCCGAAAAAGAAAACCAUUGCUAACUUUGACAUGUAACAAAAACGCAGAUCAACUGAAUGCUAGUGGGGAGUUAUUUGACGACUAAAGUAAGUUUUUCUUUCCAUUUUAGGCUGCCGCCCCCAAGCCCCCGCUUAAUUACGCUAUUUACGCGACUAGGCUUUCUUUUUCUCGAUCAAACUUUGCUUGCCGCUUCAAUAACAAAUAAACAAUAACAUUGUAGUAAUUAUUGUGGGCUUCCGCUCCCAAGCCCCCGCUUCAUUACACUAAAACGCAACUAGACUUUCUUUUUUUCACUCCUUCCCACCUCACGCGGAUCUAAAAUCAAAAUGGCGGCCGUACCGGUUGUCACAUUUACGGUGUUACAUGUUUGUACAGUAUGUUUUCAGUUAUCCUGUAGAGGACCCCUCUAGUCAAACACCCUUCAGAGAACCCCUCGAUACCUGUAUUUAUUCACCUGAGUUUAGGAUUUCACUCUCUUCGGACCGUGUUCCACGCAAUACAGAAGCAUGAGUUCCUGCAAAUUCUCUUUUUGUCAAACUCCUAAGUUAAAGUUAGAAAUUCAUACAGACACGACUUCUGAGGUCCGGUGUAAUGAAUCAUGGUACUUGGUGUUCAACGUAAACUGGACCAAAUGUGAACAUUGCUAGUAACGAAUACCCGAGCCAGCAGUGGAGAAUGACUAUAUACAAUAUAUCUGUAAUAUAAAGUGAAAACGUUUGAAA